RNAcentral lists this ribosomal RNA (522 nucleotides) under uncultured Glomeromycotina. RNAcentral's name for it is "SSU rRNA". It matches the Rfam family "Eukaryotic small subunit ribosomal RNA", at positions 569 to 1092 of the family's 1831-position model. The record is from RNAcentral. Lineage: Eukaryota; Fungi; Glomeromycota.
AGCAGCCGCGGUAAUUCCAGCUCCAAUAGCGUAUAUUAAAGUUGUUGCAGUUAAAAAGCUCGUAGUUGAAUUUCGGGGUUAGUAGGUUGGUCAUGCCUCUGGUAUGUACUGGUCUCACUGAUUCCUCCUUCCUGAUGAGCCGUAAUGCCAUUAAUUUGGUGUUGCGGGGAAUUUGGACUGUUACUUUGAAAAAAUUAGAGUGUUUAAAGCAAGCUAACGCUUGAAUACAUUAGCAUGGAAUAAUGAAAUAGGACGUUCGAUCCUAUUUUGUUGGUUUCUAGGAUUGACGUAAUGAUUAAUAGGGAUAGUUGGGGGCAUUAGUAUUCAAUUGUCGGAGGUGAAAUUCUUGGAUUUAUUGAAGACUAACUACUGCGAAAGCAUUUGCCAAGGAUGUUUUCAUUAAUCAAGAACGAAAGUUAGGGGAUCGAAGACGAUCAGAUACCGUCGUAGUCUUAACCAUAAACUAUGCCGACUAGGGAUCGGAUGAUGUUAAUUUUUUAAUGACUCAUUCGGCGCCUUACG